Molecule: long non-coding RNA, 294 nt
Organism: Tachysurus fulvidraco (yellow catfish)
Lineage: Eukaryota; Metazoa; Chordata; Actinopteri; Siluriformes; Bagridae
Exons: 3
Source: RefSeq, a predicted model, not a curated record
CUCCGAUCGUCUUCCGUGCAAUGAAGAUUUUGGACCUCCACUGAGAUGAGGCCGACUCUGUUAGCCAUAAUGUCAGCCGCUCUCUGUCCACAUUGAGGACAUUUGGCAUGUAGCCCCUGGAGUACACUGCUCAGCACACAAUUCCCACAACUGCACAAAUUCAUAUGAGUCAACAGCAGUGUCGCCUCCAAUGCUAGUUGGCAGAAUGCGCAAUUGAAAAGUCACUGUUGGGAUGCCGUAGUAUUGGCCAUCUCCCCAAAGAUGGGUGGAGUUCGCGACCUUUAAAUUGUCACA